UUUAUAGUAGGGAAUGAAGUUCUCCCUGGAAUGAUGUUCCAAACCGCUGAUGAGCUAAUGACUUCUAUGCAUAU
RNAcentral lists this non-coding RNA (74 nucleotides) under Paramaledivibacter caminithermalis. Its description in RNAcentral is "Clostridium caminithermale Fluoride sequence". It matches the Rfam family "Fluoride riboswitch aptamer (crcB RNA motif)". The record is from RNAcentral. Lineage: Bacteria; Bacillati; Bacillota; Clostridia; Peptostreptococcales; Caminicellaceae. RNAcentral also lists the same sequence under 1 other name.